AACGCCGCGUGAGCGAAGAAGGCCUUCGGGUCGUAAAGCUCUGUGUUAGGAAGAACAAGUAUCGGAGUAACUGCCGGUACCUUGACGGUACCUAACCAGAAAGCCACGGCUAACUACGUGCCAGCAGCCGCGGUAAUACGUAGGUGGCAAGCGUUGUCCGGAAUUAUUGGGCGUAAAGCGCGCGCAGGCGGUCCUUUAAGUCUGAUGUGAAAGCCCACGGCUCAACCGUGGAGGGUCAUUGGAAACUGGGGGACUUGAGUGUAGAAGAGGAGAGUGGAAUUCCACGUGUAGCGGUGAAAUGCGUAGAGAUGUGGAGGAACACCAGUGGCGAAGGCGACUCUCUGGUCUGUAACUGACGCUGAGGCGCUAAAGCGUGGGGAGCAAACAGGAUUAGAUACCCUGGUAGUCCACGCCGUAAACGAUGAGUGCUAAGUGUUAGAGGGUUUCCGCCCUUUAGUGCUGCAGCUAACGCAUUAAGCACUCCGCCUGGGGAGUACGGCCGCAAGGCUG
This 510-nucleotide ribosomal RNA is filed under the name uncultured Bacillota bacterium. RNAcentral describes it as "bacterial SSU rRNA". It matches the Rfam family "Bacterial small subunit ribosomal RNA", at positions 393 to 896 of the family's 1533-position model. The record is from RNAcentral. Lineage: Bacteria; Bacillati; Bacillota.